GGGCUGUAGCUCAAUGGUAGGGUGUCUAGCAAGCAGGAGGUCCCAGAUUCAAUCCCUGCCAGCAUCU
Molecule: non-coding RNA, 67 nt
Organism: Podarcis lilfordi (Lilford's wall lizard)
Lineage: Eukaryota; Metazoa; Chordata; Lepidosauria; Squamata; Lacertidae
Source: the annotation of a GenBank genome assembly